UAGGGAGUCUUCGGCAAUGGGGGCAACCCUGACCGAGCAACGCCGCGUGAGUGAAGAAGGUUUUCGGAUCGUAAAGCUCUGUUGUAAGUCAAGAACGAGUGUGAGAGUGGAAAGUUCACACUGUGACGGUAGCUUACCAGAAAGGGACGGCUAACUACGUGCCAGCAGCCGCGGUAAUACGUAGGUCCCGAGCGUUGUCCGGAUUUAUUGGGCGUAAAGCGAGCGCAGGCGGUUUGAUAAGUCUGAAGUUAAAGGCUGUGGCUCAACCAUAGUUCGCUUUGGAAACUGUCAAACUUGAGUGCAGAAGGGGAGAGUGGAAUUCCAUGUGUAGCGGUGAAAUGCGUAGAUAUAUGGAGGAACACCGGUGGCGAAAGCGGCUCUCUGGUCUGUAACUGACGCUGAGGCUCGAAAGCGUGGGGAGCGAACAGGAUUAGAUACCCUGGUAGUCCACGCCGUAAACGAUGAGUGCUAGGUGUUGGAUCCUUUCCGGGAUUCAGUGCCGCAGCUAACGCAUUAAGCACUCCGCCUGGGGAGUACGACCGCAAGGUUG
This 550-nucleotide ribosomal RNA is filed under the name uncultured bacterium. Its description in RNAcentral is "bacterial SSU rRNA". It matches the Rfam family "Bacterial small subunit ribosomal RNA", at positions 355 to 896 of the family's 1533-position model. The record is from RNAcentral.